This 16810-nucleotide long non-coding RNA is filed under the name Populus trichocarpa (black cottonwood). Its description in RNAcentral is "long non-coding RNA (PTRI_LNC001401)". Lineage: Eukaryota; Viridiplantae; Streptophyta; Magnoliopsida; Malpighiales; Salicaceae. The record is from RNAcentral.
AUACGCUGUUGAUGGGCUAGAGAUAUGGUCAGCGAUCAAAGAAUGGGUCAGAGACUAUUGCUCUUUCUACUACAAGAAUGAUGAGAUGAUUCGAAAGGAUUCUGAACUACAAUCAUGGUGGAAGGAAGUGAGAGAGGAAGGGCAUGGUGACCUGAAAGAUGCACCCUGGUGGCCUAAGAUGCUGACUCGAGAAGAGCUAAUAGACUCAUGCACCAUAAUCAUAUGGGUGGCGUCAGCCCUCCAUGCAGCUGUCAAUUUUGGUCAGUACCCUUAUGCAGGCUACCUUCCCAAUCGUCCAACCGUAAGCCGAAGGUUCAUGCCCGAGGAAGGUUCUCCUGACUAUAAGGAGCUCAAGUCGAACCCUGAUAAGGCUUUCUUGAAAACAAUCACUGCACAGUUGCAAACACUUCUUGGAAUUUCCCUCAUAGAAAUUCUGUCAAGGCAUUCCUCAGAUGAGGUGUAUCUUGGACAGAGAGACACUCAUGAAUGGACAGCAGACAAGAAACCAUUAGAGGCGUUUGAGAAAUUUGGAAAGAAACUGGCAGAAAUUGAGGACAAAAUGUUAUACAUGAACAAAGCUGGGAAAUGGAAGAAUCGGGUCGGUCCAGUCGAGGUGCCAUACACUUUGUUGGUUCCUACCAGUGAAGGUGGACUCACUGGAAGGGGAAUUCCUAACAGCGUCUCAAUCUAAAUCUUCUCCAUAAGACUAUUUAUUCUAUUCUUACUCAUUUGUCGGUAUGAAAGCAGCAACUGAUUCUUGUUAGCAUCUAAGGCACAUAUGUCCUGAUGUAAUAAACUCUAUAAAUAAUGCAGAAUAAAAGUUGUUCUUUUUUGUCAUUUGAUUGGAGUUGAAUUCACUUAAACAAAAACAUUGUACUUGCUGAUGGGCUAAUUAGCUGACCAAGCAGAGUUUAAAGGGAACUUCCAUUUCUUGAUUUAAGCGCUCAAAAUGCUGACACAUUUUCUCUUCCUAAGACAGGAACUACAAUUAGAAGCGGAUAAUUUCCCUUGUAAUGAUGAAAACUUGUCCUUGUUACUGUUCUAACGUUUUUCCAUAGCUUAACCUGUUAGCUAGACUCUCCAUUGCAAAAGAGACUCUUGAAAUCAGAUCCCCCCUCCUUUAACUUGUUGAAUGAUGCAUGAAAUGCAUGGACAAUUGUUCUCUUCAUAAAGCCUUGUAAGGCCUGCUUGCAUUUUAAUCAGCAGAAGCAGAAGGUACUGAACGACAUACAUUUACUCAAUUAUAAAUGUUCUGACCAAGUACAUCCCAGUCCUUUCCCUGCCAGGCUAGCCUGGGGAAGGGAGAAAUUUUACAGUCUGAGCUUCCUAUCACAUUAACUUACUCCUGAGGAAACGUUUCAGGUGUGCUUGUAUUUUUAUCAAGAAGCAGCUACUCCUGAGUUGCUUUCUAUGCUAUUAAUUUGCUCCUGAUAAGAGCCAACAUUUCCUUAUUACUGUACUUAUCACUUAGGGUUCAUACCAUUAGGGCUAACAGGAGCGAGACAUAUAUUUUCUUAAGUUCAAACACCAUCUGUGCCUUGAUCUGCCAGGCAUGAAUUCAUCACUUACAAAGUAAAUAUUAAUUUUACUUCCUGCAACAUAAGCGAAUUUCUAGAGUUUGUGAGAAUUAAAACAUUAAUCCUCUGCUUACUUAAACUAUGCAUGUGAUCUGACAUGCAUAUUUCUUGUUAUUGUGCUCAUUGUUUAACAUUUUGUAAAGGAAUUGGAGUAAUUCAACAAGAAAAUCAAUUAAUAGAUACGCAGACAGAUUCAAAAGUUCUUAUGUUGACUCAAAAGACAAAUUUGUAAAAAACUUUCUUCAGCAUCAUACUUUUUAAUGGAGUUCUCCCUCUCCCUUUCUUCUUUGUAAGUUGUGAACGGAUUUUUGUGUGAGAGAGCUCAUUCAUUAAGGAAACCAUUGAUCCUUUUCUAAUGUAGUAAAUAGUCUUCUACAUAUUAAUUCUGUACUUUCCUCUAACUUGCUUAAUCUGACGAGGUUGAUACAAGCCUAUCUCAAGUCAGUUUUGUUUUCUAUAUAUAUUUAACUCCGCCAAUCCAUGACCCGAGCUUCGGGCUUAAUGUGAUGAUAACUAGGCAUAAAAGAAGUAAAUAAUGGCCGGUAAGUCUUAGUCUACUCGCAAAUUAAAGUCUGAUUCGAAGCUGUGUGAACCUCCUCUGUCUUAAUUUGUCCUUGAUUGCUUCCUUCAUUAAUUGUCUCAAUGCAGGGUCUUCAUCAAAUUGAAUUUGAUAUGAUGAAAAUUAUCAUAUUUGAUAUCUUCAAAAUAAAAAAAUAAAAAAGCACAUGUCAUACAUGUGGACUUGUAGUACCUGUCCUUGUAAGUAGUAGGCCAGUCUUCACAAGUCCAGUAAAAAGACUAGCAACAGGGCAAAUUCAAUAUGAAAGAGAGACUUUAACAAAACUCAUCUUUUUUCCAAGGAAAUGCAAUGUGGCAAGUGAAGCUUCUCAGUCUUUACCACGUAUAUAUCCCCUCUCUAUAAAGACCUUCUCCACUCACCUUAGGUGGCAUCACAAGCCAAGCUUUAGUAGAUUCUUUUUGUAGCCCAAGAAGAGAGCAACCAGGCAAGAGGGAAAGAAAUGUUUCAGAACAUUGUUACUGCUAUCGCAUCAUGCUGUGCAGGGGACAGUAAGAUGAAGAUCAAAGGCACUGUUGUGUUGAUGAAGAAGAAUGUCUUAGAAUUCAAUGACUUUCAUGCUUCGGUUCUUGAUCGUGGCCAUGAGUUGUUAGGCCAAGGAGUCUCUCUGCAAGUCAUUAGCGCUGCUAAAAGUGACCCUCCAGGUAUAUAUACAACAGUUCUUUCAUCAUUUUGUUGCUGGUUCAGUGCUUCAUGCAUGCCUUUUCAAUCCCAUGAUGUUUUUCUUUUGUUGCUCGAUGAAGUUCAUUAAGAACACCUAGAGGGCUAGCUAGAAUAAGCACCCAAGAGAGGAAAUUCAUACACAAAGCCAAAGGGGAGAGAGUAUAAGCCAAAGAACAAGACAAGCUAGACAUACAUGAAAAACACAAGAGAAACCUUAUCCUGCUCCCCAAGAUCAGGAUAUCAUCUUGAGAUGCGGCAGUCCAUAAACAAAAGAAAAGGAUGUAGGCUGCAAAUCAUGGCUCAUUUUUCCACAAGCCAGCUGAGCUUUAUACAAAUAGAGAAUAGGGUCCAGGGGCUGUAGAGCCAGAAGCCUGUACAACUAAACCUAGCUACCAGGCACCCCAAAAGACCACUCAACACCGAUCAGCAGCAGAUUAGUAUCCACAAGGGACACAAUCAAAUAAAUUUUGCAGCAGAAAAUUAAAGUUGGGAGACUGGGGAUACCAGUUGAAAGAUUAAACAAAUAUAUGCUGACAGAAGAUGAAGAAAUUUAUUCUCUGCAUUCACAAUAAUGUUUUACAGUGUACAUAUAUAUAUGCGUACAACUUGAAAAUAGGAUAAUUGCAGGUAUUUGAAUUUUAAACUAUAACAGAUUAUUUUUAUUCAUCUUCUUCCUCUAUCUUCCUCUGAUCUUUCUCCUAUGCUUGAUUCUGUUCCUAAUUUUGUUGAGGUUGUUAUGCUAUUCAAUACUCUAACACCCCUUCUCAAACUGUGGGGAAGAAGACAGACACACAGUUUGUCUCUUAGAAAGCAAUACCGAUUUGCAGUAUGGCUUUUUGUAAAGACAUCGGCAAUUUGGUUGUGUUGAGGUAUGCUGAAUUUGAAUAGCAUGAUUAACCACCUUCUCCUUAACGAAAUAGUAGUCAAUUUUGAUGUGUUUCGUGCGUGAAUGAAAGACAGGAUUAGAAGCUAAUGCAAUAGCACUGACAUUGUCACACCAUAAGCUUGGGGCAGUAGACAACGUUAUAAUUGAUAUGUAAUUCUUGAAGAAGCAUGCGAAGCCAGUACAGUUCAGCAGUUGUAUGAGCCAUGCUUCUAUAUUCAGCCUCUGUGCUAGAUCGAGAGACAACACUCUGCUUUUUGCUGCACCAAGAUAUAAGAUUAGUGCCAAGAAACACACCAUAACCAGUGGUGCUCCGCCUAUUAUCAGGAUUGCCUGCCCAAUCAGAGUCACAGUAGGCAUGCAUUGUGAUUGUCCCUGGAGUGUAAAGAAGACCAAACUCGAUAGUACCUUUUAGAUAGCGUAAGACAUGCUUGACAGCUAUCCAGUGCAGUUCACGCGGAAAAUGCAUAAACUGGCAUAAUUGGUUUACUGAGUAGGAAAUAUCUGGUCUUGUGAUUGUGCAGUAUUGAAGAGCCCCUACAACUCGUCGAUAUUCAGUUGGAUUUUCUAACAGUUCACCAGCAGUAGAUGGGAGUUUAGAGCCAGAGGAUGAUGGACAACGGAGAGGCCUUGCACCAAGCAUGUAGGUACUGUUGAGCAAAUCAGUGAUAUACUUAGUCUGUCGCAGAUGUAAACCAGCUUGGUUCCUAAGUGCUUCAACACCAAGAAAGUAGCUCAAUUCACCCAAGUCUUUAAUUGGAAACACAUUCUGUAGUUGAUCAAUAAAAUAAUGAACUGCUUGACGUCGGAUCCUGUGAUUAUUAUAUCAUCAACGUAUACUAACACAAAAACACGUAAAGUGUCAGAAUUGUAUGUAAACAAUGAAUAAUCCAUCUUGGAUUCUAAAAAACCAAAGUCAAUCAGUUGUUGUGAGAGACGUUUGAACCAAGCUCGAGGAGCUUGUUUGAGGCCAUAAAUAGACUUGUGUAGAUAGCAUACAUGAUUAGGAAAGGUUUGAUCUUCAUAACCUUUUGGUUGUUUCAUAUAUACUUCUUCAUCUAGAAUACCAUGCAGAAAGGCAUUGGAAACAUCCAAUUGCCGAAUAUUCCAUUUGAACGAGACUACAAGAGAGAGGAUUGACCUGAUGGUAGUAGGCUUCACUACUGGGGAAAAAGUAUCAAAGUAAUCAAUACAAGGAAUUUGUUCAAACCCCUUAGCUACAAGUCUUGCUUUGUAGCGAUCAAUACUGCCAUCAAGAUGUCUUUUAAGCUUAUACACCCAUUUAUUUCUGACAACAUGUGUAUGUAAAGGUCUAGGACAGAGAGACCAUGUGUUAUUUGCCAGUAACGCAUUAAAUUCACGUCGCAUUGCUACUUUCCAAUGUCGAUUGGAUACUGCCUUUGUGAAAUCAGAUUCAAUGACUAUACUGGAUAAAACUCGUAGAGGAUGUCGAGUAGAAUAAAAAGUUUUAAAACCAGGAAACUCUUUAGGCUUAAGACUUCCUGUUUUGGAUCUGGUAACCAUCUGUCUAGGCAGUACUGGGGACAUUGCAGGAGAGGAACUAGGAUCAGUUAACGACACAUGAUUUGUGGAAGAAGGCAGUACUGGGGAAGGCAGUAUUGGGGACAUGGCAGGACAGGAACUAGGAUCAGAUAAUGACACAUGAUUUGUGGAAGAAGGUGUAGGAAUUGGAGUUUCAAUUGCAGAAGGUUGCAAGGGUGGACUUUCAGUGUAAGGAGGACUUUCGGUAGCAGAAGAGUUUGUUGGUAUAACAGGUGGAGUAAAAUUGAAAUGUUGUGCAUGAGAAAUUAAAGGAACUAUAUUGAAAGAAAGAGUAGUACCUGAAGACUGGUUGCUCGCAGGAGUGGUAGAAGAGUGACUUUUAUCCAAGUGAGGGAAAAUGUCUUCAUCAAAAACAACAUGCCUGGAGAUAAACACCCUACCUGUAGCAAAAUCUAAACAACGAUAACCUUUUUGUUGAUUUGAGUACCCUAAGAAAAUACAUUGCUUGCUUCUGAAAGCUAACUUAUGUUUUUCAUAUGGUCUGCGAUAAGGAUAGCAUGCACAACCAAAUGUGCGCAAAUCAGAGUAUCGCGGCAUAGUUUUGUGGAGUACAAAGUAUGGUGUUAUAUUAUUAAGGACUUUUGUUGGUAAACGAUUUAUCAGGUAUACUGAAGUUAAGAAGGCAUCUACCCAAUAACAGUUUGGAAGGCAGGCUUGUGCUAAUAGGGUCAAUCCUAUUUCUUGAAUAUGUCGAUGUUUACGUUCAACAAUUCCAUUUUGUAGGGAUGUAUAGGGACAUGUCAAGCGAUGAAAUAUUCCAUGUUCAGCUAAAAAAUUUUGAAACUCUAUUGAUAAGUAUUCUCCACCAUUAUCAGAUUAUAGUUGUUGAAUUGUGCAGGAGAAUAGAUUUUCAACAAAAACUUUAUAUUGUUGAAAUAUGGAAAAGACAUCACUUUUGAAACGUAUAGGAUACAUCCAUGUAAAACGAAUGAAAUCAUCAAUGAAUAAAACGUAAUAUCGAUAUCCCCCUGCUGAAGGAACAUGAGAUAUCCAGACAUCAAUGUGAAUCAAGGCUAAAGGUCUAGCUGAUUGUCUUGGAGAAUCACUAAAAGGUAGCUUUUUAGCUUUCCCUAACUGGCAGGAAGAACAAACACUAGGCUUGCUAGGUGAAUCUUUUAUUUGCAGGAAAGAAGAUAAAUAGUUUAGAGUGGAGUUAGAAGGAUGACCAAGGCAUUUAUACCAUUGAUCCCUAGUGGCUUUUAUCCCUAAUUUAGAAGUAAAACAACGAAAUUUGUUGGUGCAACUCUUAUUCCCAUUGAUUGGAUAAAGGCCAUUCUCAACCAGCCCUUGGAGCAGCAGUCGUCUGGUCUUGUUUUCCUUGACAAAAAAAGUAGUUCCAGUAAGUAUGAAGUAACAAUUACUGUCUAGGCAGAAUUGAUUAAUGGACAACAGAUUAGAUGCAGCUUGAGGACAAUACAAGACAUUAUUCAGACGAAAAGAAUUAUGUGAUGUAUUUAACAAGGAGGAACCAGUGUUUUGAAUCAUCAAACCUGAACCAUUGCCUACUUGGACAGUAUCCAUACCAUCAUAAGGCUACAGAGUUGUUAAAUCUGCUGCAUUAGCAGUAAUGUGAGCAUUAGCCCCACUAUCAGUAUACCAAGUUUGUUGCUCAGAAGUAUUAUUGGCUUCAGCAACCAUUGCUGACAAUUCAGAAGGAGGUGGUCUGCCUUGGAAAGAAAAGUUAAACCGCUGAAAACAAUCCAACGCAGCGUGACCAUAUUUGUCACAGAUUUGACAUUGUGGUCUGUCAUAUAAAGGUACAUGAUCACUAUGAGGCUAAAUUCUGGAAGUGCCUCGAGAUUGUGGUAAUGCAGAAGUUUGCUGGAAUUUAGCAGGAAUAGUUGCAAGUUUCCUUUUUGGAUAAUGAGAUGUUUUUGCAGCAAAGGCAAAACUACGAGUUUGGAUUGUAGUGGAAGCUUCAAGUAAUGUUUCAAAACUCAGAAGUUCAGAUUGAAAAUCAUCCAGAGACAGAUCCUUAUCUCUGCAAGCAAAAUUAUAGGACGUGAUAAAGGGUGUAUAGGUGCAUGGGACGAAGUCCUCCAAUUAAAAAUGUAAUGAAGUCUUGAUCAUCUACAGGUUUGCCUACAGCAGCAAGUUGGUCAGCCAACUGUUUAGCAUCUUCAAGAAAUGCAGAACAUGGUCGAUUGCCUUGAACAAGAGUCUGAAGUUGUUUCUUAAGAAGAGCAAUGCGGGAUCUUGAGGUAGAUGAGAAUCUUGCCUGAAGAGAGUCCCAAACUUGUUUGGAAGUCUUUAGAUUAAAGACAGUAAAAACUAACUUCUUAGAAAUGGAAGCUAGCAGCCAGCUGAGAACACAAUUAUCCUUUUUGAACCAAAUUGUGUAGGCUGGAUUAGAAUAAUUAUCUGGAAAAGUUCUGGUUGGUGGCUCUUCAGAACCAUCAAUCAUACCAUCCAGAUCAUGACUGCGAAGAAAAACUUGAAAUUGAACACUUCAUGGCAGAUAAUUAUGUCCUUCAAGUCUCUGGCUGACUGGUUGUGAAUUGAAUUGAAUUUUUUAGGUGAAGAGAACAGAGGAAGGAUUGUGGAAUCAGACGAAGUCAUGGUUGAGAUGAAGAAAUAGAGAAAGAGUAUAUUUGUGUUUAAUGUGCGGAAGCUGUGGUAGAUCAGGUGUUAACUGAUACCAUGAAAGAUUAAACAAAUAUAUGCUGACAGAAGAUGAAUAAAUUUAUUCUCUGCAUUCACAAUAAUGUUUUACAGUGUACAGUGUACAUAUAUAUAUGCGUACAACUUGAAAAUACGAUAGGUGCAGGUAUUUAAAUUUUAAACUAUUACAUAUUAUCUUUAUUCAUCUUCUUCUGAUCUUCCUCUAUCUUUUUCUGAUCUUUCUCCUAUGCUUGAUUCUAUUCCUGAUUUAUUUAAGGUUGUUAUGCUAUUCAAUACUCUAACAUCAGUAAAUUUGCUAGUGGGGAUAACAAAGAAUUUUAAAUUAGCAGGUUUAAACCCUAUGCUUGAUUCUCCAUAGUUGACCAUUUUCCAUGUGUGAACUAUAGUCUUCUUUUCACACGUAUAUGCACCGUUAUAAUUAAUGAUAUUAAACUGGCCCUGUACGGUCACUCGGUACAAGGCUGUGUCAUGAGUCGGAGAAUUUAACCUUAUCCUAUUCAGUGACCUGCUCCAAGACCCGUUUCAUGAGUUAGAACAAUUUAAUUUUUAUUAUUAAAAUAAUAUAAAUUAUAUUUGUACAUCUUACUUAAUAAUUGUUUAAGCUAUUGAGUUGAGGUAAUUUUCUGACAUGAUAAUUCAAAAUAUUAUUGUUAUUAUUUUUAAAUUCAAACAAUGUUAUUUAAAAAUAAAAUAAAAAAAUAAAAUUGAGUUUUAACGGGUUGACUCCUAUCAUAACUAUAGACCAGCUUUGGUCGGGCGGGACACCUGUCAGGAGGAGCCGGGCUGGGUAUAAUGUACAUGGUUAGAAGUAAAGCAGGAAAAAAUGUAGCUUUUUCAUGGAAGUCAGAUGAGAGGAACCAAGUAUGAGUUCAUUUUCUGCUACUUUUUCAUGUUUAUGCAUACAUCAUGGUAGGGACUAGGAACAUUAAGGCUGUGACAACUCUUCAUAGUCACUGCUUGUUACUUUAUGAGAGUGCAUGAAACAAAUUUGAAGGCAGAAAUUGUUUUUUCCUAUGAUAUUUUUGCCUGUCAUAGUUUAUACGAAAACAUUAAAUAUAUAAGGAGGAUAUUUUUGCCCGUCAUAGCUUUUAGACAAGAAGGAUAUUUUUGCUGGGGAUCUCGAGCUGUGCGUGUUUUCAUAUGAUUUAACUUUUAAGAGGAUGUUUGGAAGUGUGAUAGCCAUUGUUUUUUAAAAUGUUUAUUAUUUUAAAAUAUAUUAAAAUAAUAUUUUUUUUAUUUUUUAAAAAUUAUUGUUUACAUCAUAACAUCAAAAUGAUAUGAAAAUAUAAAAAAUAUAUUAAUAAAAAUAUAAAAAAAAAUUGAACUUUUUUUAUAAGCGCUUUCAAAACAUAAUGCGAAACACUGCAUUAGGAGUAGUCACCUGCUUCUGGACGGUCUCUAGAGCGUGUUUGGUAGUGUGGUUGCGGGUGCUUUUCAAAUAGCUUUUCGUGCCGAAAUACAUGCCAAUGAUGUUUUUUCAUUUUUUAAAAAUCAUUUUUGACAUCAGCACAUCAAAACGAUCCAAAAAGUACAAACCGCACUCAAUUUUAGUAAAAAAAAAAAUUCAAAAUUUGAUGAAACGCAGUUACAAACACAAUGCCAAACGGUGUCUAAGAGUAUGUUAAUGAUAUAAAAAAAAUCCUCAAACUUAGUAUAAUUAUUUUCUAUAUCAAUAUUUACCCCUAAAACUAAUUUAAUUUCUCAAUUAUGACUUUUAUAAGAAUUACUUAAUAGAAAGCAUUAAAUUUUCAAAUGAUGUCAUGUUUUUACAAAGGAAAAGUACAAUUUUGAUUGGAAACGUGGAUGAAAUGUCUUAAGAGAUUGAGAUUGAGAUUUUAUGUAUAGUUGGAGGGCAUUUGUGAAGUUUUCCCUAGCUUGCAUGGUGUCCAUGAUGGCCAUAUUUAUUCCUAUGUGGACCCAUUCCACCUCAUUUCUUAUCCCAUGGCCUCCAUGCUCAUGCUUAUCAUUUGAUUUAUCAAAUAGUUGGUUAAUGCAGAGAUCUUGUUAGAUUUUAUGAGAUAUGGACUUGCUUUACGUACUGUCUGUUAAAUGGAGAUAACAAAAGUCUUCUUAAUUGAACAAUUAUGCCUGUGAGUGUUCAAAUUAAAGGAGGCACGGAAACUAGUAUUCUUCUUGCAAUUUAAUUCCCAAAGUUAACUACGACUACAACCGUCCCUAGUUUUUCUAUUUCGAUUGCAAUAAAACAAGUAAAAAGUAGAGGAACAAAAUAAAUUAGUAGCUUCAUUAAUUUCCCUUUUAAUUCAAAAUCACUCAUGAUUAUCUAAGAACACGUACUUUCAUACGUACACAUGGAUCCUUCAGUUGAGUUCUAAGAAGUCAUCUGGACAACGUAAUAUUAUAUCUGAGCACAAAGUUUUGAUUUGCCUUUCUAAGAACAUAUAAAGCAAAUACUUGUGUUUGUGAAACUUGACAAGCUUAUUUAUAAAAUAAGGUGUUGGUAUAAUUAUUCUUCAUUGCCUUGGACAAAAUGAUUAAUUUGUCACAAUUCAAUGAACCAAAUUGCACUGGAUUGGUAUACUUUCCAUAUGAUGUCAUGGGAAUUUCAAUUCCUAUGAUUAGGCAUGGUUUAAUACAACUGGCUGGAUAAACAACUGCAAUUUACAACAUUAAUUUCUUUGAAAUUAAUUUGAUUUUUCUUCUCAUUUGUUUCUGAUAAGGUUAUUUUGAUCAUCUUAUCCAAUAAACAAUUUCCACAAGUUUCAUGUUAUUCAUAAUCAAAACGAUCAAAAUAUCAUUCAUCAUCUAACUUAGCUAUUCUAGUUUCAUUAAUAUGAUAUAGUCUACAAUGUUAUAAAUAAAAUAAUUAUUAAUUAUUUAACUAAAAAAUAUUUAAAAAAUAGAAGCCACCGCAACACCAAAUGAAUAUGUACAAUGACACACGGGAAUGACCUAAUAUUUCUUUUUAGAUUAACGUGGAUAUUCGGGUCAACUUGCGCGAACCUCGAUUAAUCCCACGAGCUUUGAAAUUAACAACCAUGUAAGUUUUCAGUGACUCUAAAGUUUACGAAACUCGAACUAAUCAUCUUUAAAAAACCACCCUAAAAUCUAACUACUAAAAGUACAUCCACCAUCUAAUAUUGAUGGAAGAGCGAUCUGUUAAUUCUACAAGCACAAGCUACCUCUGGAGCUGUUUCAAAUCAAAUUUCUUACCAUUAGAUAAGCAACGGCGUCAAAGUUUGGUGAAUGAAUUAAGCAUGCGUGAAAGAUGUCAUUGUUGAUUUUUCUAUUUUAUUUGUGUUUAUGAUUCUUUGACGUAUGGUUUGGCAGACUUAACUGGCAAUUACGUGAGUUAACGCAAACAUGCAUGCAUAUAUAUAUAUAUAUAUAUAUAUAUAUAUAUAUAUAUAUAUAUAUAUAUUGAACAUUCAACCUAAUUACGUGACACAUAUAUUUACCUUACCAUAGGAUUAGAAAAUUAUGUAUUUCACAAAAUGAAAUAAUGUAAUGUAAUUCUCAUAAAAUAAAAUAAAACUUGAUUUAAUCCUGAUAAAUAUAGUUUAAUUGAUCAGUCAUUGAAUUUACUUUCAAAGAUCAUCAGUUCGAGUCCCAUAAAUUUCAUGGUCAUUAAAGGUUUAUAUGGUUGUUAACUUUAGGAUGUCGAGAGAUUAGUCGAGAUGCACAUAAACUGACCUAAAUACUCACAAUUACAAAAUAAUAAAAACUUAAUUUUAAUUUCACCAACGAAACGUGCCAUGUUUAAUUUCUUGUUAUGUAAAAAUUAAAUAAAUAAAUUAGAGUUAUUGAAACUGGAAGAAAUCAUAAGCUACUGUGCAGGAAAAAAAUAAUUAAUAAAUGCAUUCCAAGCUGGAGAUAUGGUAAAGGAAAACAGGAAUUUAAUUCAACUUGGAAUAUAUUUAGAUCAGGAUGGUUUUUUUUUUUUUGGAUAGCAUCAUGGAAGAGUACAUGGUCAAGAUAAGAAUGCUUUUGUUUGAGAGAUCAAUUUCUCAACAUUGUUGUUUUAUUUCAAGUUUUACAAGCUAUUAGAAUAUAUAGUAAUAUUCUCUUGGUUUCUUCCUAAAGCAGCCAUGGAUAUGGUUCUUCAUUAUAUAAAACGUGAAAAGCAUAUGUAAAAUUGCUUCUACUAUUUUAUGUUGGUGAAGCACACCAGUACACGUAAAAAGAAGGAUAAAAAACAGGAAUGCUUGUAUGAAUUCCGAAAGGGCUGCUAUACAAGCCACCAAGAAUCCUACCAUUCUUCAUGGAACUUGGAACAAACAAUGUGAGAAGCAUAACUAUUAAUCCUGAUUGAGAGGUUGAUCCGGUGUAAAAUCAAUGUUACUGAUUAGACAAAUUAAUUUGAAUUUAUUUAUUUAUUUUUAAAUUUAAAACAACCCCUGAAUUAUAUAAAAAAAAUUAAUAAAUUUUAAUGUAAUCAACCGAGUCCUAGAUUAACCCAAAUAUUUUAGAUCAACUUCACUUAUUUUUUUAAAAAAAAUUAAUUUUAACUAGGUUUCAGAUCAACCUGAUGGAUUGAAUGGUUUAGUAACCCUCUACGAUUUGUCACUUGAUUGCUCCCUUCAACAAUUGAACAAUGACCUUUUUUAAAAAAAAAAAUUCUCCUUUGAAAUUAUUUUUUAUAUUUCCUCAAAUCAAACUGGAUUUGAUGCACAUAAUCUAAGUUAAUAUAAUUGAGAUCUUCAAAAUAAAAAAAGUCCAUGUGGGUGCGUGUGUAGUACAAGUCCUUGAAAGAAGUAGGUCAGUCUCCCUUGAAUAUAUCUAUCAGAAGACUAGCAAUAGGAUCAUAGCUAAAUCAUUAAAUGAAGAAGAAGACUUUUAUCAAAGUGAUUUUCAUUUUUCUUUAAAAAAGCAAGUGAACAGAACCUGCAAUGAAGCUUCCACAUGCGUAUAUUUCACUAUAAAUACCACCACACAAUCAUACCUUCCUCUCACAAUAAUUCCUAACACAAGCAAUUGUCUUUAUAUUCUUUGUUGACGCCAAGAGACGAAGCAAGCAAGAAAAAGAGAGAAAAAUGUUGCAUAGCAUUAUUGAUGCCAUUACAGGUGAUCAUAGUAAUGGUACUAAAAAGAUGGUGAAGAAAAUCAAAGGGACUGUUGUGCUGAUGAAGAAAAAUGUUCUGGACUUCAAUGAUUUCAAUGCAUCAGUUCUUGAUCGUGUUCAUGAGUUCUUAGGCCAAAGAGUCUCUCUGCAACUCGUUAGCGCUGUUAACAGUGAUCCCUCUGGUGAGUCGUUGAUAUAUAUUUCUUUAUUUUGUUGCUUUUUCAACCUCGAAAACCAUUUUUUGUGGGAUAAUUUGAGCCUGAACCUCUUCAGGAACCAUCUUCUUAUGCUUCAUUCUCUGUAGUUUACUAGUAUCCAUGCAUGGACGUACUUCACCUUGGAUGAAGUAAAGCAAGCAAAAUAUUUGUAGCGUAUCAAGGAAAUCAGAUAAGAGGAACCAAGAUCAUGUUCAUGAUCUGCUUGUUAAAGACUCAUCAAUUAAUUACUUCUUAAUGACUUGAUUAGGAAUGGAUCAUCACUUUUUAAUAUAUUGUUUGUGCUUGAAAAAAGUAGAAACUUGUGCAUAAACACCACAGGGAGCAUACAAGUUGAUUUGGUAAGGCACGAAACCCACUACUGCUACUUUUUGGACAUGUAUGGAUGAUCAUGUCGAGGACUAGGGGCAUAAAGAUUCUGACAUUACAUAUACCUAAAUGCAGUGUGCUUAGAGUAAAUUUCUAAAUCGAAAUGAGGCCAAACCAAGUCACGGGCAUCACCUCAAGUGGACCUUUUUUUUAUUUCGUUUAUAUAAUCUUUGGACCUGCUAAUAUUUCAUAAUUAGAUAUAAUUGCCUUUGUAGUAGAGGGGGCAUAAGGCUUAUCGAGGGACUUGAUUGGCUGCUCUUAAUUGUAGAAUUAUAGCUUGAUUUAAUUAUGAAGUAAGGGAUUACUCUAUUAAUUAGUUCUUAACCUGAAGAGAAACCUCAUGUUUUAUUUAUUAAUCAAGAUAAGGUAAAAAUAGUAUUUUCAAUACAUGAACAUAUGCAGAUGCCAUAUAGUAUUUGUCGUCUCAUCGAACUCCAUGCAUUAUUUGAUAGUGAUUUUGAGAAGCAUAAAUUCACUUACCUUUCAACAAACCGCAUGCCACAACCUAUACCUCGAAACGAAAUUUCAUUGCAAGUGAGAUAUUUUGUGUUGCAUGACUCUAUAUAUCCCACCAUAAUUGUCACAUCAUUUGUAAUUAUAAUAACAGUAAAUGGACCUGCAAUUUCCUGAGAUUAUACUGUAAUUAGCUAUCUAAAGUGGAUUUUGGUGCCUUUUGUAGAGAAUGAUUUGAAAGGGAAGCUAGGAGAGCCUGCAUAUUUGGAAGAAUGGAUUACCACCAUCACUUCCUUAACCGCCGGCGAGUCGGCUUUCAAGGUCACCUUUGACUGGGAUGAGGAGAUUGGAGUUCCAGGGGCAUUUCUGAUAAGAAACAAUCAUCACAGUGAAUUCUACCUCAAGACUGUCACACUUGAAGAUGUUCCUGGCCAAGGCCGAGUCCACUUUGUUUGCAACUCGUGGAUUUAUCCUACGACGCGUUACAAUUAUGAUCGCGUUUUCUUCACUAACCAGGUAAUUAUGCACCAUAGAAAGCUGAAGGUAGUUGUAAAUGUUUUCCUCAUGAGCUAACAAAUCCUGAUACAUUUGUAUAGAAUUAUCUGCCGCACGAGACACCUGCACCGCUACGUAAAUACAGGGAAGAAGAACUGGUUAAAUUGAGAGGAGAUGGAAAAGGAGAGCUUAAGGAAUGGGACCGCGUUUACGACUAUGCUUACUACAAUGAUUUGGGAGAUCCUGACAAGGGUGCAAAGUAUGCCCGCCCUGUUCUUGGUGGAUCUUCUGAGUACCCUUAUCCUCGUAGGGGCAGAACUGGCCGAGCACCAGCAAAAUCAGGUCAUUACCGGCCCGUUGUGCGUCAUCUCGCAUUCAUGUUAUCAUCAAUGGUUUGUGAUUUUAUUUUUUGUUCACACUCUUACAAUUUCCGUGAUCUAAACAGAUCCCAACACUGAGAGUAGGCAGCCGCUUCUCAUGAGCUUAAACAUAUAUGUUCCAAGAGAUGAACGAUUCGGUCACCUGAAGAUGUCUGACUUCCUUGCUUAUGCACUGAAAUCCGUCGCUCAAUUUAUUAGGCCUGAACUGGAAGCUUUAUGUGACAGCACCCCUAAUGAGUUUGACUCCUUUGAUGAUGUACUGGAUCUCUAUGAGGGAGGGUUUAAGCUGCCUGAUGGUCCCCUACUAGAAAAUCUUACGAAAAACAUUCCCGUGGAGAUGCUCAAGGAAAUUAUUCCGACUGAUGGAGAAGGCCUUUUCAGAUUUCCAAAGCCUCAAGUGAUUCAAGGUUUGAACUAAUGCAUUUAACUCUAUGCUUGUGCUGUUCUUAGACUGUCACUUUCUCUUUUUCAGCAACUUAAUUGUGAUCUAUUAAUUAUACAGAGAGCAAUUCUGCUUGGAGGACGGAUGAAGAAUUCGGUAGAGAAAUGCUGUCAGGAGUAAACCCUGUUAUCAUCCGUCGUCUUGAGGUACACUAAAGCUGCAACAAGUUUUUCUUUCGGCAAAAUUUAUAUUUUUUGUUUUUCUUGUGUCUAAGAACAAAUUAUUGCAGGAAUUCCCUCCCAAAAGCAAGCUAGACAGCAAACUUUAUGGUGAUCAAAACAGCACCAUAACUGAGGAGCACAUCAAGGAUAGUCUGGAUGGACUGUCCAUAGAUGAGGUAAGCCAUCUCUCGACUGGUUUCUUCGACAAUUAUGUUUAGAAUCGGAUCUGUGAACGCUUCACGGAUGUAAUUGAUGAAUUUAAUCUUCCCAAAAGACAUGUUGUAGCUGAAACACUUUGCUUCUGAAUAGGCGAUCGAGAAGAACAGGAUGUUCAUAUUAGAUCACCAUGAUGCAUUGAUGCCAUACCUGAGGAGGAUAAACACUACUACCACGAAGACUUAUGCAUCAAGGACUCUGCUUUUCUUGAAAGAUGACGGGACUUUGAAGCCUCUUGUAAUUGAGUUAAGCUUGCCCCAUGAAGAAGGAGAUGAAUUUGGAGCCAUUAGCAAAGUCUACACCCCAGCUGAACAUGGUGUUGAAGGCUCCAUUUGGGAUCUGGCUAAAGCUUAUGUGGCUGUUAACGACUCCGGUUACCAUCAGCUUAUUAGCCAUUUCUUGAACACUCAUGCUGUGAGUGAGCCAUUUGUGAUUGCAACAAAUAGACAACUCAGCGUGCUUCACCCAAUCUAUAAACUUUUGGAACCUCACUUCCGUGACACAAUGAACAUCAAUGCGCUCGCUAGGCAGACGCUCAUCAAUGCUGGUGGAAUCCUGGAAUCAACAGUUUAUCCUGCAAAGUAUGCCAUGGAAAUGUCAUCAGUAAUUUACAGAAACUGGAAUUUCACAGAGCAAGCACUUCCUGAAGACCUGAAGAAGAGGUAAACCUUAGUUUACUCGUAAAGGCUAAUUCAUAGUUGUUCAUAAUUAAUUUGCUAGAAUCUUAGAACUUGAAAUUAAAAAAACCACAGAGAAAUGCGUUGGGAACUUAGACUAUGGUUAAUUCUGUGAUGAUGCUGUAUUUCAUUUCAAUGACAUGUGCUACCUUGUUUACUCAGAGGAGUGGCAGUUGAGGAUCCAAAGUCUCCACAUGGUGUUCGCCUACUGAUAGAAGACUAUCCAUACGCUGUUGAUGGGCUAGAGAUAUGGUCAGCAAUCAAAGAAUGGGUCAGAGACUAUUGCUCUUUCUACUACAAGAAUGAUGAGAUGAUUCAAAAGGAUUCUGAACUACAAUCAUGGUGGAAGGAAGUGAGAGAGGAAGGGCAUGGUGACCUGAAAGAUGCACCCUGGUGGCCUAAGAUGCUGACUCGUGAAGAGCUAAUAGACUCAUGCACCAUAAUCAUAUGGGUGGCAUCAGCUCUCCAUGCAGCUGUCAAUUUUGGUCAGUACCCUU